This is a long non-coding RNA of Cairina moschata (Muscovy duck), 1593 nucleotides long. The record is from Ensembl. Lineage: Eukaryota; Metazoa; Chordata; Aves; Anseriformes; Anatidae.
GUGCAAUCUAAGAGCUACCUUUGGAAGCAAGGAAUUUGGAAAGAGAUGAAAAAAUGAAUGAGAAUCCCUCUCUGGUUAUUAUUUCUGUCUGAAUUCCAUUUAGAACUGGAGUCAGACAAAAGAUUGGACACAAACAUGCUAUCAACAAGACAGCAGCAGUGAUAUACAAACCAGCACUAAUAAACUCUCUUGAUAUGUCUAGGGAGCCCUUCUAAAGAAAGCCUACAAACACCUGCCUGAAGGCUCUUCUUGCUUUAGGCUGGAUGGAUUUGCUUGCUGUCCUCGCUCUAAGUUAAUUUGUAAUCUACAAAUCCAGUCUGCUAUUAAGACACAGAAACAAAACUUAAAGGUUAAAAAAGAAAGAAAGAAAGAAAGAAAGAAAGAAAGAAAGAAAGAAAGAAAGAAAGAAAGAAAGAAAGAAAGAAAGAAAGAAAGAAAGAAAGAAAGAAAGAAAAGAAGAAAGAAAAAGAGAAAUAUUUUUGUCUGCUGCACCUGAACAGGCAUACACAGUUGCUGAACUGAGUCUGUCUGGGGUUUCAACACUGUAGUGGGAGCAAAGGAUGGUAAGAAAAGUCACUUGUGGAUCCCAGUUUCUAUAACAGAAGGUGCAAAAGGUGCUGCAUUGGCCUUGAGCAAGUUUUGGAGAGGACUUGGUGGCUCAUGAAGAUCCCACCUCAGGGCCAGAAGAAAUCUAGGCGGUGUCACAGCGAUGGCAAAAUGCUCUGCAGGACAGUCACAUACCCAGCCAGAGAGGACUGCAAGAAGAGCAGACCCACGCCAAGUGUUCCUAUCCACGGUUUUGUUUUUAAAGAAGAAGUGGAUACCUCCCUGCAUGGCUGCAAUACCCGCCGGGUCGCAGACGCUGCUGGCUUGCCGCCUCGCCAGCCCGCCAUUCCCACUGCGAUGCCAGCCCCAUCACCAGCUCUCUGCCGCCCCGGCCAAAAUCCUUCCUGGCAUUUGAGCAAGGAUUUUGCUGGUGCAGUCAAGUCACCCUCGGUGUCACCAGCGGGGAGAGGGCAACCAAGCCCACUGAGAGGGCUGCCCUCUCCUCCAGCAGGGAGCUGCCCAUGCAACAGGGUGCACUGCUUAAGUGCCCUCUGCCCCAGGCAUGUUUCUAUUUCAAAACAAAACAACAACCAAAAAAACACAAGGCUAUGGAGGGGAGUGAAGCAAGCUGUUCAAACCAGCAGGAGGUCCCACCACUGCCAAGAGGGGCAUCUCCUCCCUGUGAUCCCUCAGUGGGGUGGAGGAGCUCACCGGGCCCCUGGGAACCAGGUUGCCUCACAAAGCUUGCUGAAAAUUCCCAUUUUUAUUAUCAUUUCUUUUUCUUUUUUUUUUUUUUUUUUUUUUCCUCUGGGAAAGGCAAUGGGCUUGUCCAGCAGGAGGUCCAGGAGCAAGCAGGGGAGAGGGGACAGUGGCAGAGGGCAGCAGGAGGCAGACCCUCCCCUCCGGCUGGGGCUCGCAUUGGUGCGGCUUCUCCCCACCGGCCCCCACCCCGCUCCUCCCACCGCCAGCAAUGCAGGGGACGGAGGAGAUCAAUCAUGGAUGGGGAGAGUUCAUUGCGAUGGGUUCACGUCUUUGUUUUUCCCUUAA